CCUACGGGUGGCAGCAGUCGAGAAUCAUUCACAAUGGGGGAAACCCUGAUGGUGCGACGCCGCGUGGGGGAAUGAAGGUCUUCGGAUUGUAAACCCCUGUCAUGUGGGAGCAAAUUAAAAAGAUAGUACCACAAGAGGAAGAGACGGCUAACUCUGUGCCAGCAGCCGCGGUAAUACAGAGGUCUCAAGCGUUGUUCGGAAUCACUGGGCGUAAAGCGUGCGUAGGCUGUUUCGUAAGUCUUGUGUGAAAGGCGCGGGCUCAACCCGCGGACGGCACAUGAUACUGCGAGACUAGAGUAAGGGAGGGGGAACCGGAAUUCUCGGUGUAGCAGUGAAAUGCGUAGAUAUCGAGAGGAACACUCGUGGCGAAGGCGGGUUCCUGGACAUUAACUGACGCUGAGGCACGAAGGCCAGGGGAGCGAAAGGGAUUAGAUACCCUUGUAGUC
This 446-nucleotide ribosomal RNA is filed under the name uncultured bacterium. Its description in RNAcentral is "partial 16S ribosomal RNA". It matches the Rfam family "Bacterial small subunit ribosomal RNA", at positions 338 to 795 of the family's 1533-position model. The record is from RNAcentral.